AUUGAACGCUGGCGGCAGGCCUAACACAUGCAAGUCGAGCGGAUGAAGGGAGCUUGCUCCUGGAUUCAGCGGCGGACGGGUGAGUAAUGCCUAGGAAUCUGCCUGGUAGUGGGGGAUAACGUCCGGAAACGGGCGCUAAUACCGCAUACGUCCUGAGGGAGAAAGUGUGGGAUCUUCGGACCUCACGCUAUCAGAUGAGCCUAGGUCGGAUUAGCUAGUUGGUGGGGUAAAGGCCUACCAAGGCGACGAUCCGUAACUGGUCUGAGAGGAUGAUCAGUCACACUGGAACUGAGACACGGUCCAGACUCCUACGGGAGGCAGCAGUGGGGAAUAUUGGACAAUGGGCGAAAGCCUGAUCCAGCCAUGCCGCGUGUGUGAAGAAGGUCUUCGGAUUGUAAAGCACUUUAAGUUGGGAGGAAGGGCAGUAAGUUAAUACCUUGCUGUUUUGACGUUACCAAAAGAAUAAGCACCGGCUAACUUCGUG
Molecule: ribosomal RNA, 484 nt
Filed under: uncultured bacterium
Lineage: Bacteria
Description: partial 16S ribosomal RNA
Rfam family: Bacterial small subunit ribosomal RNA
Source: RNAcentral